GAGGAUAUAGCUCAGUGGUAGAGCACAUGCUUAACAUGCACAAAGUCCUGGGUUCAAUCCUCAGUAUCUCCA
This 72-nucleotide transfer RNA is filed under the name Camelus dromedarius (Arabian camel). It matches the Rfam family "tRNA". Rfam says of the family: Transfer RNA (tRNA) molecules are approximately 80 nucleotides in length. Lineage: Eukaryota; Metazoa; Chordata; Mammalia; Artiodactyla; Camelidae. RNAcentral also lists the same sequence under 1 other name. The record is from Rfam by way of RNAcentral.